RNAcentral lists this non-coding RNA (28 nucleotides) under Bombyx mori (domestic silkworm). Lineage: Eukaryota; Metazoa; Arthropoda; Insecta; Lepidoptera; Bombycidae. The record is from RNAcentral.
UCUCAGUAGGAUCUUCUCCGCCUUCUUC